RNAcentral lists this long non-coding RNA (409 nucleotides) under Mytilus galloprovincialis (Mediterranean mussel). Lineage: Eukaryota; Metazoa; Mollusca; Bivalvia; Mytilida; Mytilidae. The record is from RNAcentral.
CCCAAGUCAAGAACCUAAAGUCUUUGUUAAUCUUGUGUGGUUUAUUUUAUAUAUAGGUUCAUUUAUAUGUUUACGAGUUAAGUUUUGCGUCCAUAUUUCGCUUAAUAAGAAUAAAUUGUUGUUUAGAGGUCAGCUAAAACCCGCCAUUGGGUGUAGGAUUUUUUCGCUGCGUUGAAGAUCCAUUGGUGGCAUUGGACUGUUUUCCUCUCUUUGUCUGGUUGUUAUCUCUUUGACACAUUCCUGGUUUUCAUUCUCCGUCAAUUCUUUUAGUAUAAUAUUGAAUUACAUUUUUGAAUUUUUUUUCACAUUCUUUUUAAAUUCUUCAUGUUAGGAUAAUAUUAAGAAAAAUAUUUAAUAAACAGUAUCAUAAGAUUAAAACACAAAUAAACUUUUGCAUCAUUGAUGGUCA